Molecule: ribosomal RNA, 413 nt
Filed under: Selenyphantes iztactepetl
Lineage: Eukaryota; Metazoa; Arthropoda; Arachnida; Araneae; Linyphiidae
Description: Selenyphantes sp. 3 TDSM-2020 partial large subunit ribosomal RNA
Source: RNAcentral
UCGUGUGUGUCGCCGGUUGUUAGCCAUCUCGCAGGACGGCCCGUUCGCCGACCGUGGCAACAAAGAGGCCCGGCUGGGCUUCGUCGUCUCCUCCCAUGGCUAGCGAGUAAAGAAGCGUCGCAGGAGUUCGGUGCAGUGUAGUCACACGAAGCGAGUUCGUGGCCACACGCUGCCUCGUCUCUGUUUGCUUGAUGCAAGGCUCGCGGGAGUGAUUGACGGUUAGCGGCGAGUAGAUCGGUCACCCACCUGACCCGUCUUGAAACACGGACCAAGGAGUCUAACAUGUGCGCAAGUCAAUGGGUCUUGAACAAGCCCGGCGGCGCAAUGAAAGUACAGGCCGGAGGAGUCCGGCCGCAUUCGGGAUCCCCGCUCCCUCGCGGGCGGGGCGCACCGAAAGACCCGCCGCGUUCCAC